Sphaerobolus stellatus SS14 is the source of this 91-nucleotide transfer RNA. It matches the Rfam family "tRNA". Rfam says of the family: Transfer RNA (tRNA) molecules are approximately 80 nucleotides in length. Their secondary structure includes four short double-helical elements and three loops (D, anti-codon, and T loops). Lineage: Eukaryota; Fungi; Basidiomycota; Agaricomycetes; Geastrales; Sphaerobolaceae. The record is from Rfam.
GGCAACGCGACCGAGUGGUUAGGGUGUCAGAUUUGGAUAAGUCUUUAUCUGAUCCUCUUUGAGGGUGCAGGUUCAAAUCUUGCUGUUGUUG